AACGAACGCUGGCGGCAUGCCUAACACAUGCAAGUCGAACGAGACCUUCGGGUCUAGUGGCGCACGGGUGCGUAACGCGUGGGAACCUGCCCUUAGGUUCGGAAUAACUCCCCGAAAGGGGUGCUAAUACCGGAUAAUGUCUUCGGACCAAAGAUUUAUCGCCUUUGGAUGGGCCCGCGUUGGAUUAGCUAGUUGGUAGGGUAAAAGCCUACCAAGGCGACGAUCCAUAGCUGGUCUGAGAGGAUGAUCAGCCACACUGGGACUGAGACACGGCCCAGACUCCUACGGGAGGCAGCAGUGGGGAAUAUUGGACAAUGGGCGAAAGCCUGAUCCAGCAAUGCCGCGUGAGUGGUGAAGGCCUUAGGGUUGUAAAGCUCUUUUACCCGGGAUGAUAACGACAGUACCGGGAGAAUAAGCUCCGGCUAACUCCGUG
RNAcentral lists this ribosomal RNA (433 nucleotides) under uncultured bacterium. RNAcentral's name for it is "partial 16S ribosomal RNA". It matches the Rfam family "Bacterial small subunit ribosomal RNA", at positions 29 to 507 of the family's 1533-position model. The record is from RNAcentral.